Molecule: unclassified non-coding RNA, 400 nt
Filed under: uncultured Gammaproteobacteria bacterium
Lineage: Bacteria; Pseudomonadati; Pseudomonadota; Gammaproteobacteria
Description: contains 16S-23S intergenic spacer region
Source: RNAcentral
UCCGGUUUGUCACCGGCAGUCUCCCUAGAGUGCCCUUGCGUAGCAACUAGGGACAAGGGUUGCGCUCGUUGCGGGACUUAACCCAACAUCUCACGACACGAGCUGACGACAGCCAUGCAGCACCUGUGUUACGGCUCCCUUUCGGGCACACCCAGCUCUCGCUGGGCUUCCGUACAUGUCAAGGGUAGGUAAGGUUAUUCGCGUUGCAUCGAAUUAAUCCACAUCAUCCACCGCUUGUGCGGGUCCCCGUCAAUUCCUUUGAGUUUUAAUCUUGCGACCGUACUCCCCAGGCGGACAACUUCACGCGUUAGCUGCGGUACUGAGAAAUCGCGAUCGGGAUGUCAAGGGCUGGUAAGGUUCUGCGCGUUGCUUCGAAUUAAACCACAUGCAGGAGCAAGCU